RNAcentral lists this ribosomal RNA (447 nucleotides) under uncultured bacterium. Its description in RNAcentral is "bacterial SSU rRNA". It matches the Rfam family "Bacterial small subunit ribosomal RNA", at positions 355 to 825 of the family's 1533-position model. The record is from RNAcentral.
UCGGGAAUUUUGGGCAAUGGGGGAAACCCUGACCCAGCAACGCCGCGUGAAGGAUGAAGUAUUUCGGUAUGUAAACUUCGAAAGAAUAGGAAGAAUAAAUGACGGUACUAUUUAUAAGGUCCGGCUAACUACGUGCCAGCAGCCGCGGUAAUACGUAGGGACCAAGCGUUGUUCGGAUUUACUGGGCGUAAAGGGCGCGUAGGCGGCAUCACAAGUCACUUGUGAAAUCUCUGGGCUUAACCCAGAACGGCCAAGUGAUACUGUCGCGCUAGAGUGCAGAAGGGGCAAUCGGAAUUCUUGGUGUAGCGGUGAAAUGCGUAGAUAUCAAGAGGAACACCUGAGGUGAAGACGGGUUGCUGGGCUGACACUGACGCUGAGGCGCGAAAGCCAGGGGAGCAAACGGGAUUAGAUACCCAUGUAGUCCCUGAGCGGGCUGGCAAGGCGCAU